GAUGAACGCUGGCGGCGUGCCUAAUACAUGCAAGUCGAGCGAACAGACGAGGGACUUUCUCCUCUUACGUUCGCGGCGGACGGGUGAGUAACACAUGGAUAACCUACCUAUUAGACUGGGAGAACUUCGGGAAACAGGAGCUAAUACCCCAUAACAUUUUGAAACGCAUGUUUCAGCAGUGAAAGACAGGCUUGCUGCUGCUUCUAGAUGGAUCCGCGCCGCAUUAGCUAGUUGGUAGGGUAACGGCCUACCAAGGCAGCGAUGCGUAGCCGACCUGAGAGGGUGAUCGGCCACACUGGAACUGAGACACGGUCCAGACUCCUACGGGAGGCAGCAGUAGGGAAUCUUCCGCAAUGGGCGAAAGCCUGACGGAGCAACGCCGCGUGAGUGAAGAAGGUCUUCGGAUCGUAAAACUCUGUUAUUAGGGAAGAACAAAUGUGUAAGUAACUAUGAACGUCUUGACGGUACCUAAUCAGAAAGCCACGGCUAACUACGUG
RNAcentral lists this ribosomal RNA (497 nucleotides) under uncultured bacterium. RNAcentral describes it as "partial 16S ribosomal RNA". It matches the Rfam family "Bacterial small subunit ribosomal RNA", at positions 28 to 507 of the family's 1533-position model. The record is from RNAcentral.